Molecule: non-coding RNA, 21 nt
Filed under: Arabidopsis thaliana (thale cress)
Lineage: Eukaryota; Viridiplantae; Streptophyta; Magnoliopsida; Brassicales; Brassicaceae
Source: RNAcentral
GUCGUCGUUCUCGCCUCUGCC